CCUACGGGUGGCAGCAGUAGGGAAUUUUUCACAAUGGGCGAAAGCCUGAUGGAGCAACGCCGCGUGCAGGAUGAAGGCCUUCGGGUUGUAAACUGCUUUUAUAAGCGAGAAAUAUGAUGGUAACUUAUGAAUAAGGAUCGGCUAACUACGUGCCAGCAGCCGCGGUCAUACGUAGGAUCCGAGCAUUAUCCGGAGUGACUGGGUGUAAAGAGUUGCGUAGGUGGCAUAAUAAGUAGCUAGUGAAAUCUGGUGGCUCAACCAUUCAGACUAUUAGCUAAACUGUUAAGCUCGAGACCGUUAGGGGUAACUGGAAUUUCUGGUGUAGGGGUGAAAUCCGUAGAUAUUAGAAGGAACACCAAUAGCGUAGGCAGGUUGCUGGGACGGUUCUGACACUAAGGCACGAAAGCGUAGGGAGCAAACGGGAUUAGAUACCCGAGUAGUC
RNAcentral lists this ribosomal RNA (442 nucleotides) under uncultured bacterium. RNAcentral's name for it is "partial 16S ribosomal RNA". It matches the Rfam family "Bacterial small subunit ribosomal RNA", at positions 338 to 795 of the family's 1533-position model. The record is from RNAcentral.